AGCGUUGUUCGGAAUUACUGGGCGUAAAGGGCUCGUAGGCGGCCAACUAAGUCAGACGUGAAAUCCCUCGGCUUAACCGGGGAACUGCGUCUGAUACUGGAUGGCUUGAGUGUGGGAGAGGAAUGCGGAAUUCCAGGUGUAGCGGUGAAAUGCGUAGAGAUCCGGAAGAACACCGGUGGCGAAGGCGGCUCUCUGGACCACAACUGACGCUGAGGCGCGAAAGCGUGGGGAGCAAACAGG
Molecule: ribosomal RNA, 240 nt
Filed under: uncultured bacterium
Lineage: Bacteria
Description: partial 16S ribosomal RNA
Rfam family: Bacterial small subunit ribosomal RNA
Source: RNAcentral